UCAGCUUUCACUGAAUAUUUUUGCCGGAGGGUCGGAUUUGGCCGCUGCUGUGCAUGAUGAUACUGGAGGGUAAAAUGAUGCAGCAUAUACUGUGCCACCACCACUUGUCCUGAAUUAACUUACUGUAUACAAGUGCUACUCAUUCUGAGGUAGUGUGACCCGAGGAUUCGCUGGUGGAAAGGGGACCAGAUUAUCUUUCACCAGCAAUACUGUUAAGUCACUUAUGCAGAAGUCAUGUUUAUGUCACAUAUACUUGUUGAACAGCUCACUGUAAACAGGCAUGCUCACUGUACAACUGAGUGAUGCCCUUCAAAGUGUUGAUCUUUUCUUCAGGGAAGUUUAUGAGGUCUUUUCUUUCAGUAAUGUCUUUACAAGUGAAUUCCUUACAGCUCUAAUCACAAUUUAACAUGGAAUUUCCUGCUAGCUGUGUCAUACUCUGCAUUUUGUUCACCAAAUAGAUCAAAAAUCUACUCAGUGAAUUACAGAUUUUACAAUAUUCCCAUAAAAGUGCUUGUAUAAUGUUUCAGUUACAGCUCCUGUAGUAGUUGUAAUCAGUUACUCUCCACCUCUGCCAGAAUUUGUUUUCAUAAAAGUAGCUUUGGUCACUUAAAUGAUGUGUACACUGAAUUUCUGUGGGUUUUAACUCCACCACCACAUCCUUGACUAUUAUUAGCUAACUUCCAUGCACAUAUUCAGAGGGUGAAAAUAGAAAUAGUCUCAUUCAUUCGUCAUACUUCUGUGGUUUAACAACUGGCAGCUGCUGGCGUGGCUUGAGAGGCUCCUGGUGAUGCCAUGUCAGGAUGCAGCGGUGGUAUUCAGGGCGAGGGUCCAACUUCACAUCGCAAGACAACUGGAGGAAAACCACAGAAAGCACAUUCUAAUGAAGGUGAGGAUGCCCUGGUUGCCCUGUGGGGCCUACCCUCGCUUUGAUGAUGGUGGGCCUAGGGUCCAAAAUGCCCUGCAUCUUCCUC
This is a long non-coding RNA of Thunnus maccoyii (southern bluefin tuna), 971 nucleotides long. RefSeq lists it as uncharacterized. Lineage: Eukaryota; Metazoa; Chordata; Actinopteri; Scombriformes; Scombridae. The transcript is spliced from 3 exons. The record is from RefSeq and is a predicted model, not a curated record.